Molecule: long non-coding RNA, 3341 nt
Filed under: Homo sapiens (human)
Lineage: Eukaryota; Metazoa; Chordata; Mammalia; Primates; Hominidae
Description: novel transcript
Source: RNAcentral
ACACCCAGAAAGUACAGGAAAGGCAGACGACAACUGUGCUCCGCAGAGCGGGAGGUGGGGGGAACGGCGGAAUAUUAAGGUGGGAGCUCAAGAAGCAGAGACUCUACCUGCCCUAGGCGUUCGUGAAGAGAAGCAGCUGUUGCUAUUGGAGGAGGUGGGUGCAAGGACGGCAGAUGCCAUCCCUGAGAGGCGGUGACUGAGACUAGAUGCGGGUACAGGUAGUGCCUCGGAUCCCCGGGCUGCCUCCUGCCUUUUGAACAUCCCAGGGGUCCCAACCCAGCGCCCUGUGUUUCUAUGUGUGGGUGGGAGAGGUGGGCAUAUGGAUGGAGUUGGCUUCAGGGGAGCCCAGAGAGGGGAAAUGGUGAAGUGACAAUUCGUGAACACGUGUGGUGCUGGAUCAGGAAAGGUAAGGGUGGGGAUGGGAACCAUGGACUAUGCUACUGCUGUCUUCCUCCCACCAAGUAGGCACUCACUCUGCUCUCUGUCUGUCUGUUUACUGGCAGUAUUCAGGCAGUGGGGAUGGCUGAUACCAGCUCAAAACUGGCGGAGGGUGGAGGAGGGCAGAAGAGAACACAUACAUCUGCCUUUUGCUCCAAGGCUCCAGCUGGCUGGGGAUGCAAGAGAGGAAUGAACCUCAAUCCAGGCAGUUCUAGGAAAAGAAGGAGGAGACAUAGACUCGAGGGGAGGAAACCUAGAUGCUGUGGGCCCUUCACUUAGGAUUUCUCAUUAGGAUACUCCAAGCUUCUCGACCCCCAAGGGGAUUCCUGGAUCUCAGCCCCAUGCAGCAGGAUCUCAUUCCCAUUGAGGGACACAAAGUGGGUUGCUGCUCCAUGUGAUGCUCUCUCUCCCUGCUGUCUUGGGCCUUAGAGGAGGGUCUGGGGACCACCUACAGAAACUGCUUCAUGGAUAGUCUCAUAGGUUCCCCUCUGCAUACCCUUUGCUCUCUUGUGUUGUGAUCUCUGCUCAUUCCUUAGGACGUGUUUCUUUGGUCCCAUUCCAGGUAGCAGCCCCAUGGUAAGUCCUUCUCCUCUUUCACAUUGAGUAUUCUCCUUUCCCCCUGCCCCAUGCAUCCACUGGGUACCAAGUGAAAGAAAAUGGUUCCUCUACCCACAAUACUUCUGGGAUAGAAUGUGUGGAUUUUUCACACCAAGCAAUUCUUUUAUUCUUUGAGGACACCAGCUAGGUAUCCUACAAUUUAAUUCAAUUCUGACACUACCCAGAGUUAGUGCAGACUUCUCUGGUUAAGGGCUCAUUCCCAUAAGACUGCCCUCCCCCACUUCAGACAACAGUCACAAGUAAUGGAUCUCCAUGUCACCCACACUUCUGUCUGACUUAGCUACUAGUUGGGAGUUCUCACAACCCCCUCCUCAGGUUCAAUAAUUUGCUAUAAGGGCCCACAGAACUCAGGGAAAUGCUACUUCCUAUUAUUGGUUCAUUAUAAAGAAUAUAAAUUAAAAGCCAGAUGAAGAGGUACAUAUGGCAAGGUCCAGAAGGGUCCCAAAUGCAGAAGCUGCCAUCCAUGUGGAUUUGGGGUACACCACCUUCCCAGAAUAUGAAUGAGUUCACCAACCUGGAAAAUCUCAGACAGUUAGGGUUUUUGUAGAGGUUUCAUUGCAUAGAUAUGAUUGAUGAAAUCAUUGACCAUUGGUGAUUAGCUCAAUCUCCAGCCCCUGUCCUCUCCUUGGAGGUCAAGGGGUGAGGCUGAAAGUUCCAACCCUCUAAUCAUGUCUUAGUGGGGGAGGGGGAACAUGGACAUCCACCUUUUGCUCCAAGGCUCUAGCUGGCUGGGAAUCCAAGGGAGGAAUGAACCUCAAUUUUCAGCUCUAGGGAAGAAAGGAGGAAACAGAGACUCAAGAGGAGGGAACCUAAAUGCUUUGGGUUCUUCACAUAGGAAUUUUCAUUGCGAUACUCUAUGUUUCUCAACCCCCAAGUAGAUUUCUGGAUCUCAGCCUCAGGCAGCAGCAUCCUGAGGAUCUGCCCUGGAUAUGAGGUCCUGAAAGGACCCAGUCUCAAACUGUGCUCUCAACAGUUCGUUUUCAUCUAAUGACAAGGGUUGCUGCUCCAUCUGAUGCCCCCUCCUCCUAAAGUCCAGGGCCUCAGAAGAGGGUCUUUCUGAGAACCACCUACAGAGACUGUCUUACAGAUUCCCCUCUGUAGACCCUUUGCUGUCUUCCUUGUUUCAGUUUUAUAGCCAAUGCUUUAGACUUGGUGAUUUGCACCUAUUCUUGGUGACAUCUCCUAGUUGGUGUUGAAGCCUUUGGUCAUAGCUCAGGUCUAUGAGAUAGCCACAUGAUACCAAAUUCUUUUAGGAUAAUAUAUUAGAAAAAAUAAAUUAUAUUGGUCCUAUUAACCUCUAUAUUUGUUGCAUUUUACAGAUUUGAAGCCAACUCAUAAAUGUCUUCCACAUUAUUUUUUACAGCUGCAUAGUACUUUAUUGUGUCACUACCAUAAUUUAUUUACUCACUUUCCUAUGAGUGGACAUUUGUUUCUAAUAUUAAGCUGGUACAAAUAAUACUGGAAGGAAUAACCUUGUGAAAAUAUACAGUAUUUUUGUAUGUUUGGACGUGUAUCUUCACAGAUUCCUAGAUCUGGUGCUGGUAGGUCAAAUAAUAAGUGCAUGUGCGUAGUUUUAUUAGGUAUUCUCAAAUUUCCCUGGAAAGGGGUACUAUAAGUAUUUACUGCCACCAGCAAUAUAUGUGAGUAUCUGUUUUACUACAUCCUUGUUAAUCAGUUUCUUAUUAUUCUUUUGACGUUUGUAGAGUAUCUGAUGAUUUAACCUCUCUCAUUCCUGAUGUUACUAAUUGUGUCUUCUCCUUCUCUCUCUUUUUAAAAAUUUUUCUGCCUAGAGGGUUAUCAAUUUUAUUGACCAUCUCAAUGAACUAGCGUUUAGUCUUAUUGAUUUUCUUUAUUGUUUUACUGUUUUCUAUUUCCUUGGUUUUUCCCUUCAUAUAUAUUAUUUUUUUUGUUUACUUGGUGUUUAAGUUACUCUACUUUUUCUGGUCACUUAAACUAGAAACUGAGGCCAUUGAUUUGAGACCUUUCUUCUUUUCUAAUAUAGGGAUUUUAGUACUGCAAAUUCCCCUCUAAUACUACUUUAACUAUAUCUCACAAUUUUUGAUGUGUUGUGUUUUCAUUUUUCUUCAGUUUGAAAUUACUUACUGAUUUCUCUUUGAGUUUGUUCUUUGAUGCAAGAGUUAGUUAUUUAGAUGUAUGCUGUGUAGUUCUCAAGUAUUUGGGGACUUUUCCAGUUAUUGAUUUCUAAUUUAAUUACGUUGUAGCCAGAGAACAUACUUCGUGUAACUUGAAUCCUUUUAAUUUACUGAGACUUCAUUUAUGGUCCA